Biomphalaria pfeifferi is the source of this 450-nucleotide non-coding RNA. Lineage: Eukaryota; Metazoa; Mollusca; Gastropoda; Planorbidae. The record is from the annotation of a GenBank genome assembly.
AAGGCUAAAUUUUAUUAUUUUUAUUUUAUAGAAAUACAUGGCUAAGGCUGCAUACCACAUCUUUUACAGGCAAUAGGUAAAUAAAUGCAUUUUAAAAUCAUUUCAAUCCGCAUGCACCCCUCCUCUGUGUAGUAGUGUAGCGUAAUACAUGAAAAUAUCACUUUCCAAUAAUAUAAUGGCAGUAAUAAAAUAUAUACAAAUAAAACAUAGGUUCUACUCCACAAAAACCUUAUUGUUCGUGAAGACAGAGGUCCUACAAAAUGAGUUGUACUCUGUAGGAAAAUGUCAGGUAAGACAUCCCACAAAAUGGCGUGGAGCUGUUAGUAAUGUACAUGAACACUAGGCCGAUAUUAGUAGCAGUAAUGCUCUUCUGUAAUCGGAAGACGCUUAUAAAGCACGAGGAGGACACUUUUUUAGCGUUCUAAUCCACGAAAUCAUACUAAUUGAAUG